This 2931-nucleotide ribosomal RNA is filed under the name Enterobacter hormaechei. Its description in RNAcentral is "23S ribosomal RNA". It matches the Rfam family "Bacterial large subunit ribosomal RNA". The record is from RNAcentral. Lineage: Bacteria; Pseudomonadati; Pseudomonadota; Gammaproteobacteria; Enterobacterales; Enterobacteriaceae.
GGGUUGUGAGGUUAAGCGACUAAGCGUACACGGUGGAUGCCCUGGCAGUCAGAGGCGAUGAAGGACGUGCUAAUCUGCGAAAAGCGCCGGCGAGGUGAUAUGAACCUUUGACCCGGCGAUGUCCGAAUGGGGAAACCCAGUGCAAUCCGUUGCACUAUCGUUAACUGAAUACAUAGGUUAACGAGGCGAACCGGGGGAACUGAAACAUCUAAGUACCCCGAGGAAAAGAAAUCAACCGAGAUUCCCCCAGUAGCGGCGAGCGAACGGGGAGCAGCCCGGAGUCUGAAUCAGCUUGUGUGUUAGUGGAACGGUCUGGAAAGUCCGACGGUACAGGGUGAUAGUCCCGUACACGAAAGCACACAUGCUGUGAACUCGAAGAGUAGGGCGGGACACGUGGUAUCCUGUCUGAAUAUGGGGGGACCAUCCUCCAAGGCUAAAUACUCCUGACUGACCGAUAGUGAACCAGUACCGUGAGGGAAAGGCGAAAAGAACCCCGGCGAGGGGAGUGAAAAAGAACCUGAAACCGUGUACGUACAAGCAGUGGGAGCCUCUUUAUGGGGUGACUGCGUACCUUUUGUAUAAUGGGUCAGCGACUUAUAUUCUGUAGCAAGGUUAACCGUAUAGGGGAGCCGAAGGGAAACCGAGUCUUAACUGGGCGUUAAGUUGCAGGGUAUAGACCCGAAACCCGGUGAUCUAGCCAUGGGCAGGUUGAAGGUUGGGUAACACUAACUGGAGGACCGAACCGACUAAUGUUGAAAAAUUAGCGGAUGACCUGUGGCUGGGGGUGAAAGGCCAAUCAAACCGGGAGAUAGCUGGUUCUCCCCGAAAGCUAUUUAGGUAGCGCCUCGUGAACUCAUCUUCGGGGGUAGAGCACUGUUUCGGCUAGGGGGCCAUCCCGGCUUACCAACCCGAUGCAAACUACGAAUACCGAAGAAUGUUAUCACGGGAGACACACGGCGGGUGCUAACGUCCGUCGUGAAGAGGGAAACAACCCAGACCGCCAGCUAAGGUCCCAAAGUCAUGGUUAAGUGGGAAACGAUGUGGGAAGGCACAGACAGCCAGGAUGUUGGCUUAGAAGCAGCCAUCAUUUAAAGAAAGCGUAAUAGCUCACUGGUCGAGUCGGCCUGCGCGGAAGAUGUAACGGGGCUAAACCAUGCACCGAAGCUGCGGCAGCGACACUAUGUGUUGUUGGGUAGGGGAGCGUUCUGUAAGCCGUUGAAGGUGUGCUGUGAGGCAUGCUGGAGGUAUCAGAAGUGCGAAUGCUGACAUAAGUAACGAUAAAGCGGGUGAAAAGCCCGCUCGCCGGAAGACCAAGGGUUCCUGUCCAACGUUAAUCGGGGCAGGGUGAGUCGACCCCUAAGGCGAGGCCGAAAGGCGUAGUCGAUGGGAAACAGGUUAAUAUUCCUGUACUUGGUGUUACUGCGAAGGGGGGACGGAGAAGGCUAUGUCAGCCGGGCGACGGUUGUCCCGGUUUAAGCAUGUAGGCGGAGGUUCCAGGUAAAUCCGGUACCUUGUUAACGCUGAGGUGUGAUGACGAGGCACUACGGUGCUGAAGUGAUAAAUGCCCUGCUUCCAGGAAAAGCCUCUAAGCAUCAGGUAACACGAAAUCGUACCCCAAACCGACACAGGUGGUCAGGUAGAGAAUACCAAGGCGCUUGAGAGAACUCGGGUGAAGGAACUAGGCAAAAUGGUGCCGUAACUUCGGGAGAAGGCACGCUGAUGUGUAGGUGAAGCCCCUGCGGGCGGAGCUGAAAUCAGUCGAAGAUACCAGCUGGCUGCAACUGUUUAUUAAAAACACAGCACUGUGCAAACACGAAAGUGGACGUAUACGGUGUGACGCCUGCCCGGUGCCGGAAGGUUAAUUGAUGGGGUUAGCGGCAACGCGAAGCUCUUGAUCGAAGCCCCGGUAAACGGCGGCCGUAACUAUAACGGUCCUAAGGUAGCGAAAUUCCUUGUCGGGUAAGUUCCGACCUGCACGAAUGGCGUAAUGAUGGCCAGGCUGUCUCCACCCGAGACUCAGUGAAAUUGAACUCGCUGUGAAGAUGCAGUGUACCCGCGGCAAGACGGAAAGACCCCGUGAACCUUUACUAUAGCUUGACACUGAACACUGGUCCUUGAUGUGUAGGAUAGGUGGGAGGCUUUGAAGCGUGGACGCCAGUCUGCGUGGAGCCAACCUUGAAAUACCACCCUUUAAUGGCUGGUGUUCUAACGUAGACCCGUAAUCCGGGUUGCGGACAGUGUCUGGUGGGUAGUUUGACUGGGGCGGUCUCCUCCCAAAGAGUAACGGAGGAGCACGAAGGUUGGCUAAUCCUGGUCGGACAUCAGGAGGUUAGUGCAAUGGCAUAAGCCAGCUUGACUGCGAGCGUGACGGCGCGAGCAGGUGCGAAAGCAGGUCAUAGUGAUCCGGUGGUUCUGAAUGGAAGGGCCAUCGCUCAACGGAUAAAAGGUACUCCGGGGAUAACAGGCUGAUACCGCCCAAGAGUUCAUAUCGACGGCGGUGUUUGGCACCUCGAUGUCGGCUCAUCACAUCCUGGGGCUGAAGUAGGUCCCAAGGGUAUGGCUGUUCGCCAUUUAAAGUGGUACGCGAGCUGGGUUUAGAACGUCGUGAGACAGUUCGGUCCCUAUCUGCCGUGGGCGCUGGAGAAUUGAGGGGGGCUGCUCCUAGUACGAGAGGACCGGAGUGGACGCAUCACUGGUGUUCGGGUUGUCAUGCCAAUGGCACUGCCCGGUAGCUAAAUGCGGAAGAGAUAAGUGCUGAAAGCAUCUAAGCACGAAACUUGCCCCGAGAUGAGUUCUCCCUGAGACCUUGAGUCUCCUGAAGGAACGUUGAAGACGACGACGUUGAUAGGUCGGGUGUGUAAGCGCAGCGAUGCGUUGAGCUAACCGAUACUAAUGAACCGUGAGGCUUAACCUUACAACGCCGAAGCUGUU